CGAUGAACCUCCUUCGGGAGGGGAUUAGUGGCGAACGGGUGAGUAACACGUGGGCAAUCUGCCCUUCACUCUGGGACAAGCCCUGGAAACGGGGUCUAAUACCGGAUACGAGUUCGGGAGGCAUCUCCUGGACUGGAAAGCUCCGGCGGUGAAGGAUGAGCCCGCGGCCUAUCAGCUUGUUGGUGGGGUAACGGCCCACCAAGGCGACGACGGGUAGCCGGCCUGAGAGGGCGACCGGCCACACUGGGACUGAGACACGGCCCAGACUCCUACGGGAGGCAGCAGUGGGGAAUAUUGCACAAUGGGCGAAAGCCUGAUGCAGCGACGCCGCGUGAGGGAUGACGGCCUUCGGGUUGUAAACCUCUUUCAGCAGGGAAGAAGCGAAAGUGACGGUACCUGCAGAAGAAGCGCCGGCUAACUACGUGCCAGCAGCCGCGGUAAUACGUAGGGCGCAAGCGUUGUCCGGAAUUAUUGGGCGUAAAGAGCUCGUAGGCGGCUUGUCACGUCGGGUGUGAAAGCCCGGGGCUUAACCCCGGGUCUGCAUCCGAUACGGGCAGGCUAGAGUGUGGUAGGGGAGAUCGGAAUUCCUGGUGUAGCGGUGAAAUGCGCAGAUAUCAGGAGGAACACCGGUGGCGAAGGCGGAUCUCUGGGCCAUUACUGACGCUGAGGAGCGAAAGCGUGGGGAGCGAACAGGAUUAGAUACCCUGGUAGUCCACGCCGUAAACGUUGGGAACUAGGUGUUGGCGACAUUCCACGUCGUCGGUGCCGCAGCUAACGCAUUAAGUUCCCCGCC
Molecule: ribosomal RNA, 793 nt
Filed under: Streptomyces sp.
Lineage: Bacteria; Bacillati; Actinomycetota; Actinomycetes; Kitasatosporales; Streptomycetaceae
Description: bacterial SSU rRNA
Rfam family: Bacterial small subunit ribosomal RNA
Source: RNAcentral